Molecule: unclassified non-coding RNA, 790 nt
Filed under: Hevea brasiliensis (rubber tree)
Lineage: Eukaryota; Viridiplantae; Streptophyta; Magnoliopsida; Malpighiales; Euphorbiaceae
Source: RNAcentral
GAAAAACCCACAGACAAGAUCCAAGAAGCACACAGAAGUUUCUCAUCUUGCAAAGUUGCUCACACAAUGCAAAUGUGCAUGCAUAAAGCACUCAAAAAGAUAGAGAGAGAACUAAGAAGCUCAAACCUAAAUGAAUUCUAUGCAAGAGGAAUUGACAUUUUAAUUAGAAUUCCAACUUUUAAGCAUUUAUUAAGUUCACAAAAUAUAUAUAUCGGCUCCAUUUAUCCAUAAAAGAUAAUGCCUAUUACUACUUUCAUUCCAGGGAAGAAAAAUGAUCAAAUGAAUAAACAUUGCAAGUUGCAACCCUGUACCCUCUGUGAUCAAGUUAACAGAAACAAGAAUGAUAAUAGACAAAUCACAAUGGAGUGCAAGAAACAUGCAUAUAAUAAUAUCAAAAUAUUAUAAUGAAUAAUCCAAAGACAACAUUUGAAAUAAAUGGGACAAAUACAGUUUUCAAACAAACCGAAUAUUCAUAUUUACCAUUCCAAGAUUGAACACAGCACUAUAUUACACGUUUAUAGCACGACUACGAAUAUAAGGGAAAAGGGCAAAGGGAAAGGGGGAGGGGGGGUUGGUAGGAAGCAAAAAUCAGAAGCACAAAGCAGUAAUAUGCAUAGUCAAGCACAAAAAUUCAUGAACACUCCAAUAAUGAAACUCGACAAAGAACUUAACCUUGGAUUCUCCCCUGGGUUUAGACUAGUUAAAAGCGGAAGAAAAGAAAUUUGCUCACAAAUGCUAAAGAAACAAACCCAUUUCUAAGGAAACUGCUUUUCCCUUUUUUUUUUUUUUU